Molecule: transfer RNA, 77 nt
Filed under: Burkholderiales bacterium
Lineage: Bacteria; Pseudomonadati; Pseudomonadota; Betaproteobacteria; Burkholderiales
Description: tRNA-Pro
Rfam family: tRNA
About the family: Transfer RNA (tRNA) molecules are approximately 80 nucleotides in length.
Source: RNAcentral
CCGGGCGUAGCUCAGCCAGGUAGAGCAUCUGCUUUGGGAGCAGAGGGUCGCACGUUCAACUCGUGUCACCCGGACCA